AGUCACCUCACUGUAGCGAGUAAC
This 24-nucleotide unclassified non-coding RNA is filed under the name Arabidopsis thaliana (thale cress). Lineage: Eukaryota; Viridiplantae; Streptophyta; Magnoliopsida; Brassicales; Brassicaceae. The record is from RNAcentral.